RNAcentral lists this ribosomal RNA (464 nucleotides) under Pseudoalteromonas sp. PS4C-CB146. Its description in RNAcentral is "bacterial SSU rRNA". It matches the Rfam family "Bacterial small subunit ribosomal RNA", at positions 8 to 468 of the family's 1533-position model. Lineage: Bacteria; Pseudomonadati; Pseudomonadota; Gammaproteobacteria; Alteromonadales; Pseudoalteromonadaceae. The record is from RNAcentral.
AGAGUUUGAUCCUGGCUCAGAUUGAACGCUGGCGGCAGGCCUAACACAUGCAAGUCGAGCGGAAACGAAGAGGUGCUUGCACCUCUGGCGUCGAGCGGCGGACGGGUGAGUAAUGCUUGGGAAUAUGCCUUAUGGUGGGGGACAACAGUUGGAAACGACUGCUAAUACCGCAUAAUGUCUACGGACCAAAGUGGGGGACCUUCGGGCCUCACGCCAUAAGAUUAGCCCAAGUGGGAUUAGCUAGUUGGUGAGGUAAUGGCUCACCAAGGCGACGAUCCCUAGCUGGUUUGAGAGGAUGAUCAGCCACACUGGGACUGAGACACGGCCCAGACUCCUACGGGAGGCAGCAGUGGGGAAUAUUGCACAAUGGGCGCAAGCCUGAUGCAGCCAUGCCGCGUGUGUGAAGAAGGCCUUCGGGUUGUAAAGCACUUUCAGUAAUGAGGAAAGGUUAAGUGUUAAUAGCA